This 305-nucleotide ribosomal RNA is filed under the name uncultured bacterium. RNAcentral describes it as "bacterial SSU rRNA". It matches the Rfam family "Bacterial small subunit ribosomal RNA", at positions 334 to 637 of the family's 1533-position model. The record is from RNAcentral.
GGUUCCUACGGGAGGCAGCAGUGAGGAAUAUUGGUCAAUGGGCGCGAGCCUGAACCAGCCAAGUCGCGUGAGGGAAGACGGUCCUAUGGAUUGUAAACCUCUUUUGUCGGGGAGCAAAAGACGCCACGUGUGGCGUUCCGAGAGUACCCGAAGAAAAAGCAUCGGCUAACUCCGUGCCAGCAGCCGCGGUAAUACGGAGGAUGCGAGCGUUAUCCGGAUUUAUUGGGUUUAAAGGGUGCGCAGGCGGAAGAUCAAGUCAGCGGUAAACGUGCGAGGCUCACCCUCUUCGCGCCGUUGAAACUGGU